AGGGCACCACCAGGAGUGGAGCCUGCGGCUCAAUUUGACUCAACACGGGGAAACUCACCCGGCCCGGACACCGUAAGGAUUGACAGAUUGAUAGCUUUUUCAUGAUUCGGUGGAUGGUGGUGCAUGGCCGUUCUUAGUUCGUGGAGCGAUUUGUCUGGUUUAUUCCGAUAACGAGCGAGACUCUGGCCUACUAAAUAGUUGGCGCAUUGCUACUGUGCGCACAACACUUCUUAGAGGGAUUUUCGGUGUUCAGCCGCACGAAAUUGAGCAAUAACAGGUCUGUGAUGCCCUUAGAUGUCCGGGGCUGCACGCGCGCUACACUGGCAAAAUCAGCGUGCUUGUCCUUCCCCGAAAGGGGUUGGUAAACCCGUGAAAAUUUGCCGUGAUUGGGAUCGGACAUUGCAAUUAUUGUCCGUGAACGAGGAAUUCCUUGUAGGGGCGAGUCAUCAACUCGCUCUGAAUACGUCCCUGCCCUUUGUACACACCGCCCGUCGCUGCCCGGGACUGAGCCAUUUCGAG
This 519-nucleotide ribosomal RNA is filed under the name uncultured eukaryote. RNAcentral's name for it is "SSU rRNA". It matches the Rfam family "Eukaryotic small subunit ribosomal RNA", at positions 1161 to 1703 of the family's 1831-position model. The record is from RNAcentral.